UACGAAGGGGGCUAGCGUUGCUCGGAAUUACUGGGCGUAAAGGGCUCGUAGGCGGCCAACUAAGUCAGACGUGAAAUCCCUCGGCUUAACCGGGGAACUGCAUCUGAUACUGGAUGGCUUGAGAUUGGGAGAGGGAUGCGGAAUUCCAGGUGUAGCGGUGAAAUGCGUAGAUAUCUGGAGGAACACCGGUGGCGAAGGCGGCAUCCUGGACCAACACUGACGCUGAGGAGCGAAAGCCAGGGGAGCAAACGGG
Molecule: ribosomal RNA, 253 nt
Filed under: uncultured bacterium
Lineage: Bacteria
Description: partial 16S ribosomal RNA
Rfam family: Bacterial small subunit ribosomal RNA
Source: RNAcentral